RNAcentral lists this ribosomal RNA (500 nucleotides) under uncultured bacterium. RNAcentral's name for it is "partial 16S ribosomal RNA". It matches the Rfam family "Bacterial small subunit ribosomal RNA", at positions 30 to 523 of the family's 1533-position model. The record is from RNAcentral.
AUUGAACGCUGGCGGAAUGCUUUACACAUGCAAGUCGAACGGCAGCACGGACUUCGGUCUGGUGGCGAGUGGCGAACGGGUGAGUAAUGUAUCGGAACGUGCCCAGUCGUGGGGGAUAACGUAGUGAAAAUUACGCUAAUACCGCAUACGAUCUAUGGAUGAAAGCGGGGGAUCGCAAGACCUCGCGCGAUUGGAGCGGCCGAUAUCAGAUUAGGUAGUUGGUGGGGUAAAGGCCCACCAAGCCAACGAUCUGUAGCUGGUCUGAGAGGACGACCAGACACACUGGAACUGAGGCACGGUCCAGACUCCUACGGGAGGCAGCAGUGGGGAAUUUUGGACAAUGGGCGAAAGCCUGAUCCAGCCAUUCCGCGUGCAGGAUGAAGGCCCUCGGGUUGUAAACUGCUUUUGUACAGAACGAAAAGGUUUCUACUAAUACUAGGAGCUCAUGACGGUACUGUAAGAAUAAGCACCGGCUAACUACGUGCCAGCCGCCGCGGUAA